Molecule: long non-coding RNA, 919 nt
Organism: Apis cerana (Asiatic honeybee)
Lineage: Eukaryota; Metazoa; Arthropoda; Insecta; Hymenoptera; Apidae
Source: RefSeq, a predicted model, not a curated record
GUACAAUCGCCACAUCUUUACUGACAGGAACUUGAACAGCUUUUAUAUUAUUCUGUUCCAAUUCUUCUAAUAUAUUAUUAUUAUCAUUGUUAUCGAAGGUGGUGGUGGAUCUCCUCGCGAAGUCUCUUGACCCCAGACACUACCCCACCUUGGCCUGUUAAGUUCUCCUAUUCUACCAUCAGAUAAUCUCCUUGAUGGUGGUAAUGAACUCUCAGGUGUUGUUUGAUAAGGAUUUUGCCACAUCUUUUCGGCCAUUUCCGUUCCUGAUGGCUUGCAAUCAGGUGCCUCUACAGAAUCACUGGCAUAGCCGGAAGUCUCUCCUUCGCGUUCUUCAGCUUGCAGACCAUAACGAUUAUUUUUUGAAUUUUCACAACGAUCGUAUAGUCGUUGAGGUUUUUUGGAAUUGUAAUGCAAUCUUUCUAUAGCGAAAUCUCGUUGUUGAUCCUAGAAUACAAAAUAAUCAAUUUUUAUCGAUUCAACGAAAGCUAAAAAAAGAAAGAAAAGAGCUCGCGUGACAAAAGGGUAAUAUUCUAUUUUUGCAUCAAUUUGUAAAUCAUGUUUAACAUGUACAUUUAUUUAUACUGAAGAUUGGAUAUGAUUACUGUACCAGUAUGAGACAGGAACGAUAAAGCAGAACAGAAUUCUGUGUCGAUUUAUAAGAUUUAUAGUGCUUCUUAUUUAGAAAUGGAUUUCACAUUAAGAUGAACAAUUGUUUUGCCUUUAUUGAAUUUCAUUAUUUAAAAUAGACAAUCUUUUUAAAAGAAAAAGAAAGUAAAAUUUUUUUUAAUAUUUUAAAUAUAGUUAUAAUUUCUUUAUAAUUAUUAUAAUUAAUAAUUAAUUCUAAUUAAAAAUAUUACAAAUAUUUUGAUCAAAGUCUAUAAAUGUAGUCAAUAUAUUAAAUAUAAUUGCUUUGAUAUUA